UGAGGAGUAGUUCAAUUGGUAGAGCGUCUGACUCUGGAUCAGAAAGUUGCAGGUUCGAGUCCUGCCUCCUCAG
RNAcentral lists this transfer RNA (73 nucleotides) under candidate division KSB3 bacterium. RNAcentral describes it as "tRNA-Gln". It matches the Rfam family "tRNA". From Rfam's summary of the family: Transfer RNA (tRNA) molecules are approximately 80 nucleotides in length. RNAcentral also lists the same sequence under 1 other name. The record is from RNAcentral.